This 415-nucleotide unclassified non-coding RNA is filed under the name uncultured Tricholomataceae. RNAcentral describes it as "sequence contains ITS2". The stretch from base 1 to 145 matches the Rfam family "5.8S ribosomal RNA". The record is from RNAcentral. Lineage: Eukaryota; Fungi; Basidiomycota; Agaricomycetes; Agaricales; Tricholomataceae.
AACUUUUGACAACGGAUCUCGCAUCGAUGAAGAACGCAGCGAAAUGCGAUAAGUAAUGUGAAUUGCAGAAUUCAGUGAAUCAUCGAAUCUUUGAACGCACCUUGCGCUCCUUGGUAUUCCGAGGAGCAUGCCUGUUUGAGUGUCAUUAAAUUCUCAACCUUCCAGCUUUUAUUAGCUUGGUUAGGCUUGGAUGUGGGGGUUGUGGGCUUCAUUAAUGAGGUCAGCUCUCCUUAAAUGCAUUAGCGGAACUUUUGUGGACCGUCUAUUGGUGUGAUAAUUAUCUACGCCGUGGAUGUGAAGCAGCUUUAUGAAGUUCAGCUUCUAAUCGUCCAUUGACUUGGACAAUUUUUGACAAUUUGACCUCAAAUCAGGUAGGACUACCCGCUGAACUUAAGCAUAUCAAUAAGCGGAGGCU